RNAcentral lists this ribosomal RNA (425 nucleotides) under uncultured Caldilineaceae bacterium. Its description in RNAcentral is "bacterial SSU rRNA". It matches the Rfam family "Bacterial small subunit ribosomal RNA", at positions 940 to 1382 of the family's 1533-position model. Lineage: Bacteria; Bacillati; Chloroflexota; Caldilineae; Caldilineales; Caldilineaceae. The record is from RNAcentral.
UGUGGUUAAUUCGAUGCUACACGAAGAACUUACCUGGAUUUGACAUGCACGUAGGUAGUGAACCGAAAGGGAACGAGCCUUCGGGCAGCGUGCACAGGUGCUGCAUGGCUGUCGUCAGCUCGUGCCGUGAGGUGUUGGGUUAAGUCCCGCAACGAGCGCAACCCUCGUCGCUAGUUACAUGUGUCUAGCGAGACUGCCAGGUUAACCCUGGAGGAAGUGGGAUGACGUCAAGUCAGCAUGGCCUUUAUGUCCAGGGCUACACACACGCUACAAUGGUCGGUACAAUGGGAUGCCAAGCCGCGAGGCGGAGCAAAUCCUCAAAGCCGGCCUCAGUUCGGAUUGGAGGCUGCAACUCGCCUCCAUGAAGUCGGAGUUGCUAGUAACCGCAGGUCAGCUAUACUGCGGUGAAUACGUUCCCGGGCCUU